Molecule: transfer RNA, 71 nt
Organism: Loxodonta africana (African savanna elephant)
Lineage: Eukaryota; Metazoa; Chordata; Mammalia; Proboscidea; Elephantidae
Rfam family: tRNA
About the family: Transfer RNA (tRNA) molecules are approximately 80 nucleotides in length. Their secondary structure includes four short double-helical elements and three loops (D, anti-codon, and T loops).
Source: Rfam
GCAUUAGUGGUUCAGUAGUAGAAUUCUUGCCUUUUGUGCAGGAGACUCAGGUUUGAUUCCCAGCCAAUGCA